This is a non-coding RNA of Macaca mulatta (Rhesus monkey), 9107 nucleotides long. Lineage: Eukaryota; Metazoa; Chordata; Mammalia; Primates; Cercopithecidae. The record is from RefSeq and is a predicted model, not a curated record.
AAAAAAAAAAAAACAUAGAUUUGAGAUUCCUGCUAUUGAAUGUCCUGAGUUACAGUCUGGAUGGGAAACAGUAGUAGGAAUUGUUACCCUCUUCCCAAGAGAUUUCAGUGGGCAGCCAGAUCUCAGUCCCAUAAUCUGGGCCUCUGUUAUCCACCCUCUGGAGAACCCUGGCCAUUUGGACUACAAAGACAAAGACCCACCACGCACUUGCUGGCAGCUUAGCUUAAUGGAGGAAGCAUCCCAAGAGAAGAAAAGUAGACUUGAUGUGCCAGUGCUGCACACCAACACAAUGACAGAGAGAAAGCUCUGGGCAUGAUACAGGAGCUGGCCUGGUAGAAAUCCCCCAGGUCUAAGAAAUGAGCCUAUUUACCUUCCUUGCCCUUAGGCCUAGCACAUGAUGUGAGAGGGAAGAGAAAUAACCAUAAGCCCUUGACAUACACCUGUAUGUCAUUUCUGCCCUUUCAGGGUAAGCAUAAGUAGGCCAGAUUAGAGAUCAGAAUAGGGCUUAGAGGUAAGAUGACAACCAGGACUAAGGUUGUAAUCUUCCAAAAGGCUGGUCCCUCCCAUAAUGCAUACAGCUUCUUGGGGCCUCUUAGGGUUAGGCCUUAGGGUUACUCCAAUGGGAGAACAAUCACUAACAUCAAGGAGUUUCAGAGUAAUUAUUAACUGUCCAUCCAGACAGGAAAUAUUUAUCAAGCUUCAAUUAUGUGCCAGGCACCUGGCCAGUAAUUCUCAGUGGAUAUUGGAGUCCCUGUGGAACUGUUUAAAAAUUACAAAUAUCCAAGCCUCGCCCCAGAAAUUGUAAGUAAAUUGGUUUCACAUACAGUCUUAGGCAGCUGUUAUUCUGAGAACUUCCCAGGUGACCUGAAUGUGUGGCCAAGGUUGAGACUCACCGUGCUAGAGUUAAAGCAGUGACCCUCAAACAGGAGUGACCACCAGAAUUACCUGGGGUUGGGGGACCUUGUUUAAACACAAUUCUGCCUCCACCACACUUUCUGAUUCAGUGGUCUGAAGUAGGACCCAAGAAUUUGCUGUUUUACAGAUUCCCGGGUAAUGCUGAUCCUGAUGGUCCCGGACCAUAUUCAGAAUCACCGAGCAACUCGGUACUGCGUCUUUUGAGACAUGCAGUCAAUUAGGAAUGUGUUCUCUUGCCUAUUUGGAGCCCACAAAAAAAUCACACUUCCUUCACUACAGAGCCACCCAAAGUGAUUCUACUUUGUGAGUCUCAAAGUCUGAGCUCCCUGGCCUGACCAGUUCCUUCAGGUUGUAGGACCGAGUCCCCUGUUUCCUUGCUAGAUGUCCGCUGGAGUGCUCCUCUUAGCUCCUAGAAACUUCUCUCUAGUCCCUUCUAUCUUAGAACCAGCAACAGCACAUCAAAGCCUUCUCAUGCUUGAAGCUCUUUUGACCCCUCUUCUGCUAUGGAGGAGCUCACGUGAUUAUAUUGGGCCCACUGGGCCAAGUCUGGAUAGUCUCCCUAUCUUACAGCCCAGUGAUUAACAAUCUUAAUUGCAUCUUCAAAGUUCCUUGACAGCAGUGUCUAGAUUAAUGUUUCAUUGGAUAACCAGGGGAUAGAAUGUUAAAAGACAUCUUUAGACUUCCACCUUCCAUACCACCCUACUUGUUUAGUCGUGCUUUCCAGUGAGCAGGCACUUGGAGAAGACAUUCCAUUUUAGAGUCAGCCAUACAAGUAGUUGGUACUUGGACAUCUGAAAUCCCAGUGUUUCCCAUGCCUGGACCAGCCCGGACUUGAGAAGGUAUGCCAGUGCUGACUGAGAAGGUAGAAGGGUUCUCAGUGCUUCUGGCAUCAUGAAGAAGAAGAAAGGUAAAAAUGCCUCUGGUCACAGUGAAAGCCUUUCGUGGCCUUAAUUAGAGCUCCAGUAACUUUAAAAUGGAGAUUGGGACAUUCAAAUCUGUAGGCAAAGUCUGCAGCAGGACAAAUGAUGUCCUUGUUCCUGAAAAAUUCGGGUCUGCCUGACUAAAGAUAAUCCCAAUAAUGGAGUCACAUGUUACAGACACCCCCAGGCACACUGCCUUUUGUCCAUUCCCAUACACAGCCACUCGAGGAAUCUAUCCAGUACACAAAUCUGAUCAUGUCCCUGCCUGUUUCUGAGCCUUUUGUGGUUCCCCAUUUGAUGCUACUGAUUCCACUUUCCUUGAGUGUAUAAAAGGCCCUGUGAUCUGGACCCCAUUGGUCCCUCUAGCCUCAUCUCCGGUAACUCCUGGUCUCAGGCUAUGUCCUCCCCACGUGUGUGAAGCUCCUGGAGCACACUCUGACACUCUGCGUCCCCAGCUUUUUGUUCUGGCUGUCUCUCUGCCUACAAUACUUUCCCCUAGUUUUAUUUGACUGAUCAAUAAUCAUCUAUCACUCAACUCAGUGUCUUCACCUUCAGGAAGGCUCUUAUCUCUCUGUAGCUAGGUCAGAAUAGCUGCUCCUGAAUUUUGAUAAUCCAGUUCUGCAACUAUCUCCUCCCUUAAAGGAAGAGCUCCCUGAACAGAGCAUGGCACCUGGCACAGCAUAGACACUCAAAAAUGUUUGCUUUCAAACAACAAAGCCUUCAGCAAGAACUUAGAGUAACCAGACCCAGAUUUGUGCAUCUGAAGUUACCUUGGAAUAAUCAGUGUGGGAGUCAGGAAAAGGCCAGACUAGGACUCCAUCUGUAGGACUUGCUACUUCACCUACAAGUCCCAUUGCAAAAUGAAAAUGUAGGCCUCCUUGCAAAACAGCUAUUCAGAAUUUUUAAAUGGCAGAGCAUAAGUGCAGAGCCCUAUGUGACUUUCCAGGUCCCAUGCCCAUAAAGUGAGACCUGCUAGUCUGGAAUCUUGAUAUGGGCUAAAGUGUGGAGCCUGGAAGGCCAGAACACUUCCUUUCCAUUUCCCCAAAACCCUCCAGCUUGAUUGUAAAUGUCUAUGAUAUUAACCUAUUGAAACAGUCUUUCAGUUGAAGGGAGAAGGCAAUUCAGCCUCCAAAUGAGGCCUCUUUCUUUGGAAAAGAGGAAGGUAACCGCCUACAUUAAAAUGCUAGCCACAUUGUACAAAGCGUGUCUAUGUCAACAGCCUUGGACCUGGGCACCUUGUGGCCCAUUUUUUAAUACAUUGGUUUGAAAGGCCACAUCACUCCAAUGUGCACAGGCCAACAGCCAGCCUCUCUCCACAGCUCGGCCCAGGGAGUACCAGGUAGCAAGAUGAAGCCAAGUGGGAGGGCUGGAGUGCAGACCAGAUCCCCUUUCAGAGCAAAGCCUGGUCUAUGUGGGUAGGGUGAGUAUCCAAGGGGCUCUGUAGCCUCUGGACAAAUUUAAUCAAUCCCAAGCACACAAGUGACAGAGAGAGUCCCACUGAGGAGCUACAGGGACCUCUCAAGCCAGUUGUUAAAAAUAGAGUUAGUCAGGGGGUUUCAGAGCUCUUGGAGUGAAAUGUGGGUGCCAGGUCAUGGGCAAACUGAAACUUAAAGGCUAUCAGGAGCAAAGAAACAAUGAGUACGGCUUUCUCCUUCAUUGCUCCUCUUUUCCCUGGAGCCUGCUCCAUCUGCCCUCCCCUCUCCUCUGACCAGCACUCUCCACUUGCAUGCGAUUUCCAUCUGCCCUUGGUGUGGACUGCACAAACCUUGUGACUGUUCUGGCCUCACUCUCCUUACACCAUGGCUCUGCUUCUCCAGUUCCUAUGUUCACAGCCCAAUUCUUUCUGUCAGUCCUCCGCUAGGAGAAAGUGGGCAGGCAGAUGGUUAGGAACCUUUCUACUACAAGAAUAGUACAAGUCCCUACAAGGUAGCCCUGACCAAAGAUCCAGGCAGACAGGCAGGCCAGGGAGGCCUGGCCAUGAGCUGCUGUCCCAGGCAAUGGGCUGGGGCUCAUGUUGGAGGAUGCAGGGAAGUAGUGCCAGGGGUAAAGCAGAGUCCUAAGAAUCUGAGGAAGGUUCCCAAAUCAGAAAGCAGGCACCAGAAUUGGGCACAGAAAAAGGCAGAGCAAUACCUGACUCACAGCCACAGAGACUGCUGAAUCCUGGAGGGUUACACACAUCUGCAGCAUUGACCCUCUACCAUCAGAGCUAUCAGAAGAUGAAAGCCGUGGGGAGAGGUAGAUCCUAACAUUAAAGUAAAUGGCAAGGCCCUGCGCCCAAAUACAUUCACGGUAUGAGCAUGUUCAAGCCCCACCUCAGCUGUCCAGAACUUUUCACUACCAGAGCACCCUCCUUCUUCCCACACAAGUUGAUUGAGUUUAUUCUGUUGUGUUGAUAAAUAUAUUUGGAAAUCAUGAGGAACCAGGUUCAGCUAAUGCCUUUAUUUCUGAUCCCUGUAAAUACAACGCCUUCAAUGAAGAAACAACGCUCCCUGUGUUUACUGGGAACUGAUUCUGUGCUGUGGGCACUGUAGGAUCAAAUCCAGAUGCCCUAGUAUGUCUUUCCUGGCCCUACCUAGAGAGCUUGUUAAAACACGGAUUGGGCCUUACCCCCAGAGUUACAUUUCCAACUCGUUCUCAGGUGAUGCUGAUGCUGCUGGCCAAAGGACAACUUGGAGAACCACUGCCUAGCCUCACCAGCUGUCAUGGCCAACCCCAGCCUCCAGUAUCUCGUUACGCUCCCCCACUCCUCUCUCACACAGACUCUCUCCCCACUAAGUACUGAACUCCUUCCACUUUCCAUAUGACACCAUACCAAAGCCCUCCCAGAUCUGUAUACAUGCCAUCCCGUUUACCUGGAAUACGCUUCUCCCUCACUUCCUCUGGUUCUCUUCUACUCUGUCUCAAUAUCUAGCAUAGAUGCACUUCCUCCAGGAGACCCUGCAUGCCUCCUCCCUUCCCCCUUAUUCACUCACUCACAGAUGUGUUGGGGUCCCUGCCCUGGGCUUCAGGAGCAGCCUGUGCUUCCCCCGGGGUGCCUCUUGGUCCGUUGUAUCCUCGUAGCUGCUCUGUCUCCUCCUCUGUAAGGACAGCAAUCAAGUCCAUCUGUUUACCAUCUCAUCCCCAAGGCCUGGUCAGUGAUCAGCAGGUAAUGAGUAUAUAUUUACCAAAUGAAUGAAUGAACUACACGAAUUUGAUCAUUUGUCUUAUUGGGACAUUAGCCUACAUUCUAAAUAGGCAGAAUAUGAAUACCUUAUACAUACACUAUCAUGGUCAUUCUCAAAGUAUGAUUCUCCAACCAGCAACAUCGACAUCAUCUGGGAACCUCUUAGAAACGCAAAUUAUCAGGCCCCACCCUGACCUGCAGUAUCAGAAACUUUGGGGGUGGGGCCCAGCUAUCAGGUUUUAAUAAACCCUCCAGGUGGUUCUGAUGCUCCUCCAAGUUUGAGAACCACUGUACUAUCAUAUAAUGAGACCUCAAAGGAAUGAAAAUGCUAAAGGAUUCUGAAGGUAAUAGGACUCUCUGGUAUUGGUGAAGUCAAUGAUACGUGAAAACUGCUCGGAGUAUGCUAACAGAGGUCUUGGGGAUGGUUUACUCUCCUGGGGGCUGUAACCUCAAAGUAGUUAAGCUGAGUUUAUUCUCAAAAUUAUGGAUAUUUAUAAAACAGAGCUCCAAGGAUGAAGGUGUCACUGCAGACGACAGUUUGGAGGAGAGACAAUUACUCUGUCAGGUGAAUAAUUUGAAGACAAAAUUGAAAAGCGACAAUAGGGAAAGCCAGACGAGCUAAAAGUUAAUUUGGUGACUAGCAUAAGAAGCAUUGUGAUGGGGAAGGUGUCAAUUUACUGGCAGGGUCCAGUGAGCAAGCUCUUUCCAAAGUCUAUGUACUGUCCCAUUGUGAUCAAUGAAACAUCAUCUGGGUGUGAGAGGCAAAUGCAGCAGAACUGAUGACUGACUGAAUACAGGUGUCUCAGGUCUUCAGGGGAGGGGCUAGGACAGGAUUGGAACCCACAAUCAGAAUUAACAAGGAUCAGAAUUAUUUAAAAAAAAAAAAAAUUAAACCUGGAAGAAAAACACAAGUUAGUGCUACACUGUGAGGCAAGAAACUGUCUGUUGUCACAUCUUCUCUAUAAAGCCAGGAUAAAAGGAUCCUGGGGCUGGAGUCCACUGGGAGCAGAACAAGAAUGCCUCAGAAGGCUUUGGAAAGGGCAAGCCCAACCUGAACUUGGGAGCUGGUCCCCGAAAUCCCACCAUAAAGUACUCAUUUUCUUUAAAGACUAGGAAUGUGAGGACUCAUGCAGCUACUUGGCAUUGAGGCAAACUGGAAAUACAAAACUAAACUUGUUUUCUAAACCAUGACAAGCUACAGCCUAUAGUUCUACCAUAUGCUUCUAAAUUGCCCAUGUCUUGUACAGUUUGCUCUUAGAAAUUCUUCAUGCCAACAGAAUAUAUUCUACCCAGUAAACGAAGCUAGGUUUGGGCUAUCCUUAUGACCCAGGGAGUAUAAAGGGGAGGCAUCAAUCCACAGUACUUGCUGCUCCUCCUUCUGCCCCUUGAGGUGGUAUGCUGGGAAAUGAGCAGCGAGUGGGUAAGAGGCUCCACUAAAAGCAGAAUUGCCACAUGGAGCCUGAAGAGCAUUCACUGAAUCACUAAGAACUAAGUGUUAUUUAAAAUAAGUACUUAUCUUAAAUCAGGCCGAAGGUCAGGGUGGGGGACACCAAGGUCAACAUCUCAGAUAUCUAAUGAAGACCCUUGAUCUGAAGGAAAUUUAUGGUUCCGGAAAGAAUACGUGCAUCGGAGGAAUACUCCUCCAAAACACAGCUAACUGGGUGAACUUGGGUGAGUUACUCAAGCCCUCUGAUUCUCCAUGAUAUCUUAAAUCAAGGAUGAAAACGUACUUGGCAGGGUUGCCUGGGGAAUUAAACAAGAUAAAAAACUAUUUAUCCCUUACAGACACCUAAUAAAUGUGAGAUGUACCGAUCUUCUCCUACCUCUUAGAUCACAUAGGGCUGGCCUGUCCUGAAUCCUAUUUCAUAAGAGAAAAGCAGAUUUGGCAUUCCAUAACAUAGCCCUGAACCACAGACAAGCCACAGUUUUUCAUGAGCUUUGCUGAUUACUUUUAAAAAAUAAUGAUACCACUACUCCCGCCGUCUGAUUUGGUUUGGCAAACGGUCUCUUCCUUCUUAUUCACAGUUAGAAGUGUUACCAUUGCAGGCCCUAGAAGUUGAAUGGUGAGCUUCUGGGUCCCCUGGAAGAAACUUUUUAUCUCUACUUAUCCACCAAGUCGUGAAAUUUUGCUAGAGGUGUGUUUGGUUGUUCGUUCAUUUGUUUUGUUAUUUUUUGUUCUGUGGGGGCUUUUGGCUAAAGGAGUCCCUGGUAUUCAUUUGCCAGAACUGCUGUAACAAAGUGCCGCAAAGAGGGUGGCUUAACCAACAGAAAUUUGUCUGGCAGUUCUGGAGGCUAGACAUCUGAAAUCAAGGUGUCAGUGGCGCUGGUUUCUCCCUCGAGGAAAGGAUCUGUUUCAGGCCUCUCUCCUUGACUUGCAAAUGGCCAUCUUCUCCCUACACCCUUGUGUAGUCUUCCCUCUGGGCAGCUGUGUGUGUCCAAAUUUCCCCUUCUUAUGAGGACAGCAGUCAGAUGGGAGUAAGGCUCUCCUAGUGAACUCAUUUUCACUUGAAUACCUUUGUAAAGACCUAUCCUGAAAUGCGGUCACAUUCUGAAGUACUAGGUGUGAGGACUUCAACAUAUGAAUUUUAGGGGAUACAAUUCAAUCCAUAAUGUCCCCUAGCCCCACUCACACGCACUAUUGGCAUCUGGAGGAUGACAGUGCAAUGUAACCUGAUACACCGCCCCGGAAAAUAGCACAUUUCCACAGCGAAGGGGAGAAAUUCCCACUCUUGCUACACUAUUCACCCUCAGCGAAGUCCAUUCCAGGGUGGCCCACUAGGAAGGCAUGCGCUUUUCCUCCCUCAGGCUGACUACCUUUCGGUUGACUGGUAUUUUAGAGUCUGAACCUAUAGUCUAGGCCUAUCUUCAUGGCCAUAUUAAUCAUCAUGCUGGCAAAGACCUUCACUGCGCUGGCAUUGAUGUGUCUUCUGGUCUCACACAUCAGAUACUAUAUAUAGCUGAGGGAUUGAUGUCAAGGUUUCCCACCUCUCAUUCUGCCCAAGAAGCUACCAAAUGUGGUGACUCUGUUAGAUCUCAGGAUAAGAACUGCUGGAAGUUUUUGCUCCUGCAGGAAGAAGAAGGAGCAGGUAAAGUAAAUGAAGUCCAGUGUUGUGGGUAAAAUGUGGAAAGAAAAUCCUUAAGGUUCUGCUUGCUUUCAGGUUUAGUGGCUGGGCGCAUCAGACAAACCUCCCCAGCAGCCUCUCCACCUGGGAGACAGAGGAGGAAAAGAAGUGAAGGGCUCUCCUCUCUUGAGAUUAACAUUCAGGAGAGAAAGAGAGAGAGAGACAUAUUUACAAAUUCUGUUGUGAAUUUCCUAGACAAAUUUGAAGUACCGUGUCAGGGCCAGGUGGACAGAGUGCCGAAAAAGCUGUCCUAGCGCUAUCCCAGGGCACUCUCACUCCUCAUUGCCCAGGGUGGGGAGUGGAGGCAGUGCCUUUGCUGAUGGCCAUGUCCGUGAAAACAGUAAGUUUCCUCCUUACUCUCCUGGAUAAAAUGAUUUUUUCUUCCCUCGGCUUUCAGACGAGGCCAGGGGACAUCUGCUCAGAGACAUCCUCCCUGAAUGCUCAAACCAAGGACUGCACAAUGCCCAGGCAGUGUCCGGGGCUCCACGCGUGCCUUUCUCCUGGAGGGAGUCCACGUCCUGACCUUGCCCUCUGAGCUGCACCAGGCCUUGUUCCACACCAGAUUCCCCUCCACGGAGGGGCACAUGGAAGUGCCCAGAACUUUGCUCCUCUCCAACACUGACUCCUGAAGACCUAAUGACUCCUGUGGCUUUAGCACCACUACCUUGGGUGGGGACCCCCAAGGUUUGUAUUCCAACCAGACUUGUCGGUUACAAUUCUGUGCCAUGCACCUCCCCACCCAGGGCCCCUAGCUCCUCACUCCCAGUGUGUCUCCCCACAAUCUCCUAUACAUGCAUGUGUGCAUCUGACUUAAACUCAGUUACCUCUCAUCUCUUUCCUAACUUUGUACUUUUUUUCUCUCUUUAGGAUGGAAAAUUUUGGAGUAAUUCUUGAUUCCUCUUUUUCUACUCCUAUCUCCAGUAUUCUGCCAGUCAUCAAAUCCUGUGCAUAUUUAAUAAAUAUUAUUGAAUUGCAGUACUGAUAAAA